RNAcentral lists this ribosomal RNA (1491 nucleotides) under Streptococcus salivarius. Its description in RNAcentral is "bacterial SSU rRNA". It matches the Rfam family "Bacterial small subunit ribosomal RNA". The record is from RNAcentral. Lineage: Bacteria; Bacillati; Bacillota; Bacilli; Lactobacillales; Streptococcaceae.
CUGGCUCAGGACGAACGCUGGCGGCGUGCCUAAUACAUGCAAGUAGAACGCUGAAGAGAGGAGCUUGCUCUUCUUGGAUGAGUUGCGAACGGGUGAGUAACGCGUAGGUAACCUGCCUUGUAGCGGGGGAUAACUAUUGGAAACGAUAGCUAAUACCGCAUAACAAUGGAUGACACAUGUCAUUUAUUUGAAAGGGGCAAUUGCUCCACUACAAGAUGGACCUGCGUUGUAUUAGCUAGUAGGUGAGGUAACGGCUCACCUAGGCGACGAUACAUAGCCGACCUGAGAGGGUGAUCGGCCACACUGGGACUGAGACACGGCCCAGACUCCUACGGGAGGCAGCAGUAGGGAAUCUUCGGCAAUGGGGGCAACCCUGACCGAGCAACGCCGCGUGAGUGAAGAAGGUUUUCGGAUCGUAAAGCUCUGUUGUAAGUCAAGAACGAGUGUGAGAGUGGAAAGUUCACACUGUGACGGUAGCUUACCAGAAAGGGACGGCUAACUACGUGCCAGCAGCCGCGGUAAUACGUAGGUCCCGAGCGUUGUCCGGAUUUAUUGGGCGUAAAGCGAGCGCAGGCGGUUUGAUAAGUCUGAAGUUAAAGGCUGUGGCUCAACCAUAGUUCGCUUUGGAAACUGUCAAACUUGAGUGCAGAAGGGGAGAGUGGAAUUCCAUGUGUAGCGGUGAAAUGCGUAGAUAUAUGGAGGAACACCGGUGGCGAAAGCGGCUCUCUGGUCUGUAACUGACGCUGAGGCUCGAAAGCGUGGGGAGCGAACAGGAUUAGAUACCCUGGUAGUCCACGCCGUAAACGAUGAGUGCUAGGUGUUGGAUCCUUUCCGGGAUUCAGUGCCGCAGCUAACGCAUUAAGCACUCCGCCUGGGGAGUACGACCGCAAGGUUGAAACUCAAAGGAAUUGACGGGGGCCCGCACAAGCGGUGGAGCAUGUGGUUUAAUUCGAAGCAACGCGAAGAACCUUACCAGGUCUUGACAUCCCGAUGCUAUUUCUAGAGAUAGAAAGUUACUUCGGUACAUCGGUGACAGGUGGUGCAUGGUUGUCGUCAGCUCGUGUCGUGAGAUGUUGGGUUAAGUCCCGCAACGAGCGCAACCCCUAUUGUUAGUUGCCAUCAUUCAGUUGGGCACUCUAGCGAGACUGCCGGUAAUAAACCGGAGGAAGGUGGGGAUGACGUCAAAUCAUCAUGCCCCUUAUGACCUGGGCUACACACGUGCUACAAUGGUUGGUACAACGAGUUGCGAGUCGGUGACGGCAAGCUAAUCUCUUAAAGCCAAUCUCAGUUCGGAUUGUAGGCUGCAACUCGCCUACAUGAAGUCGGAAUCGCUAGUAAUCGCGGAUCAGCACGCCGCGGUGAAUACGUUCCCGGGCCUUGUACACACCGCCCGUCACACCACGAGAGUUUGUAACACCCGAAGUCGGUGAGGUAACCUUUUGGAGCCAGCCGCCUAAGGUGGGAUAGAUGAUUGGGGUGAAGUCGUAACAA